ACCUGUUAAUUUAUGUUGAAUAAAAUGUGACAGACAUCUUUCAACUCUUCAACAAUCAUUCAUUUAAGACCACUGAAUAAGGGUCCAUUACACCCAAAAGAUCUCCCAUCCAUAACCACAAUGACAGAAGAAAACAUCUAAAUUUAGUACUUCAAAACAGGUGAACUCUCCCUAUCAAACUUAACAAUACUCAUCUAGACAAUCAUUACUAACAAUUACAAACAAUUCGAAAUAACGGCAGAAGCCUAACUUCCACCUAAUUGUUAAUGCUCAACAGGACCUGUAGGAGAGCAAAGUUCAAAUCUUGAUCUUGUUGGGAACCUAUUCAAUUGUCCACUAUUUUGACACCCUUUUUCCUGUUGAUAUAAUCAGCAGCUCUAGCUUCCAUCUUCACAGGCAUUGGUGCUGAGAACACGGAACUCUCAUUUUCGUGCUCAUUAUCAUUCUCAUCUCUCACAUUCCUUUCAUAAUACCCAUCCUUUCUUGAAAUGUAAUUUGGAUCCAUUUCAUUAUCACUACUUCCACUAUACCCUCCAUCUUCUUCCCCAUCACCUUCACACCCCUUGGAUGCCAUGCCAAGCUUUUCAACUCUUUUGCUAAGGUUUUUUAUCAGCUCUUUCUCAGUAUCAAAAGUUUCUUGCUCAUUAACAUUCCCCAUUGAAGCAGGCUCCAUGGUACCAUGGAAAGAUUGGUAAGCAUCUCCAUUAUCUGCAAAGGUCACUGAUUUCCUUUGAUUGGGUUUAACAACACCAUGACUCCUGGCAAAACCACCACCCCUAGUUCGUAAAACGCCAGAUUUUCUAUUAUCAGAGAACCUAGGGCUUUGCUGAUCUUCCUCCUCCUCCUCUUCAUCUUCAGAUUCCUUCACUGAUGCAACGAAUUUGUCAACGGCUCCGUUAAAGUUUGUGUCAAAUUCUACUUUACGGUCACCGGAAAAGACCCUAGCUUUGUUUCCACCUCUCACAUUCUUAACUACUCUACUUGAGAAUAUGGAAACCCCAUUAAUCACCUUCAUAAAUCGAGUCAGUUCGUUGCUUAUUGACCUUCUACCAUCUCUGAUUAACGGAUCAUCGCCCUCAAUACAAUCAAGUCUAACGAGUAAAUCCGUCGCUCUGCGAGUAACAGCUCGAAUAUCAAUGUGUAUUUUACCAGAAACUGACGAUUUGAGAACAUAGAGAGUUGUUUUGAUGGAAGCCAACUGCUUCAGCUGUCGAAGUGUUCUCGAUCUACGAGCAAGGAAGGCUCUGAAAUGGGUCUGAAUAGUACGCGCUGCAGCAUCGCGUAACGUUUGACGAGAACGAGAAGAAACAGAAGAAGUAGAGGAGCUCCGGCUGAGAGAAGAUUCUAAGGCAGCGAUCCGACGGAGAAGAGAUGUAACAAUUCGUUGGGUUUGUUGGUCUGUUACUUUGUUGGCUUGAUGAUUCAAUUCUUGAAAAUGAUGAUGAUUUUGGUGAACGGUUUCACAUUGGCAUUGGAUAUGAGAAGGCGGCGGCGAUGGUG
Molecule: unclassified non-coding RNA, 1500 nt
Filed under: Hevea brasiliensis (rubber tree)
Lineage: Eukaryota; Viridiplantae; Streptophyta; Magnoliopsida; Malpighiales; Euphorbiaceae
Source: RNAcentral